Molecule: ribosomal RNA, 30 nt
Filed under: Fusarium lateritium
Lineage: Eukaryota; Fungi; Ascomycota; Sordariomycetes; Hypocreales; Nectriaceae
Description: partial 18S ribosomal RNA
Source: RNAcentral
CCAGCGGAGGGAUCAUUACCGAGUUUACAA